CAACUUUGAAGUUUUUCCGGCAUCUACAGUGUUUUUCCGGCAAAAAAAAAACAGUUUUCCUUCAUCUGUUUUAGCAAAUUUUCAACGAUGAAUUUGGGAAUCGAUGCUUUCGGGUCUAGAAACCUGGGUUCGAUGUUAAACUACAUAUGUAUCAAGCUCGAUACAUAUGAUUUAUAUGCACCAGCUUGAGGGGGAGUGUUAGAUAUGUAAAU
RNAcentral lists this long non-coding RNA (212 nucleotides) under Nicotiana benthamiana. Its description in RNAcentral is "long non-coding RNA (NBEN_LNC001181)". Lineage: Eukaryota; Viridiplantae; Streptophyta; Magnoliopsida; Solanales; Solanaceae. The record is from RNAcentral.